Molecule: long non-coding RNA, 716 nt
Organism: Cololabis saira (Pacific saury)
Lineage: Eukaryota; Metazoa; Chordata; Actinopteri; Beloniformes; Belonidae
Exons: 3
Source: RefSeq, a predicted model, not a curated record
ACUGGUGUUAGGAGUUUUAAAUAGAUGGGACCUUCAGCUCAGCUGGAACCAGCUGGUGAUUUGAAGCUCUUCUACUGCACAUUUACACUUCAUACGUCUUCUUUCCUUCAUUCCAGCUCUUCCAGUAUGGCGACACUGUGGAUACACGCCAUCUCAGUUCUGCUCUUACUGGCCGUGACCCGUCCGAGCACAGAAGCCACUAGUGUACAGACUCUGUGUGGCGCUGAACUGGUGGAUGCCCUUACCGAAGUCUGUGGAGGCAGAGGCUUCUACUACAAAACACGCACAUCAAAACGAUCGGUUACGGAGACCUGCUGUUUCUGGCCCUGCAGCCCCUCUGUUCUGGCAAGCUAUUGCGCCCCCUGAGCUGGCAGGCACCAGCGCGUAUACCUGUCACUUUCUGCUCAGUUAGCAUAGCUUAGCUUUUUAGCUGACUUAGCAUGCAACACUAAAUUAAUCCAUAACUCCUUCCCACCUGGAGGCCCGUUGCGUGGAGACGUUGCGGAUAGCCAGCUGUUUGGGUCAAUGUGCCAAUGAAUUGAUGGCAAUAUUUUUCCUAGAAAAUAAAGUUUUAUGAGUUUAGAAGUUUGAAGAGUUAUCUUUUAUCCUUCCUUCUGUUGAUCUUUAUUCAUUUUAUCCAUUAGCCACUAGUAUAAUUUAAUUGACUUUAACGUAAAUAAAACACACUGUCAAGUUCCUUGGCAGUGUUUCCUGUA